GGAAAGGGAUUCACGCAGAAAGAUACAUGGACAGGUGAAUUGGAGUAUAAUCUCUCGUUGGUAUUCUAUAUUUCUGGGCAACUACAAAAAGUUUGUAUAUACAAUUAUAAUAUAUGCGAUUAGCUAUAUAGUUCAAGGAAUGAGGAUGCUCAAUUAACUGAAAGUUGCCCUUUAGUGAUUUUUUGUUCAAAAUGUUAUUUUGAUAGACUUCUAUUCUACUCACUGUUUCCAAAUGUUACCGUUG
Molecule: long non-coding RNA, 244 nt
Filed under: Nicotiana benthamiana
Lineage: Eukaryota; Viridiplantae; Streptophyta; Magnoliopsida; Solanales; Solanaceae
Description: long non-coding RNA (NBEN_LNC006408)
Source: RNAcentral